RNAcentral lists this ribosomal RNA (173 nucleotides) under uncultured bacterium. RNAcentral's name for it is "partial 16S ribosomal RNA". It matches the Rfam family "Bacterial small subunit ribosomal RNA", at positions 318 to 507 of the family's 1533-position model. The record is from RNAcentral.
CCUACGGGAGGCAGCAGUUACCUACGGGAGGCAGCAGUGGGGAAUCUUGCGCAAUGGGCGAAAGCCUGACGCAGCAACGCCGCGUGCGGGAUGAAGGCCCUCGGGUMGUAAACCGCUUUCAGCAGGGAUGAAAAUGACAGUACCUGCAGAAGAAGCCCCGGCUAAAUACAGUG